RNAcentral lists this long non-coding RNA (30606 nucleotides) under Citrus x clementina. RNAcentral's name for it is "Citrus clementina (C. clementina) long non-coding RNA (CCLE_LNC004581)". The record is from RNAcentral. Lineage: Eukaryota; Viridiplantae; Streptophyta; Magnoliopsida; Sapindales; Rutaceae.
UGCAAAGAAAAAUAAUAAAUUAUACAACAAAUCCCAUAAAAGAAUAAGAAAUAUUUAUCACAAAGAAAAAUGCAGGCAAAGGAUGUAUACCUUUGCCAACAACACCCUCAAGCCCCCGGAGAACACUAAGAGAAGCAGCAAGAUCAUUGGCCCAAAUGUUCCUUCCAUCAACCACUCCAGCAAAGAGGUACUUGCCAGCAGGGAAUCCACUCUUGAUCAAUUCAAGGGUCUUCGUUCCACGAACCAAAUCAAAUCCAUAAGCGGUGACACCCUUCAAAGAAGUGAGGGUCUGGAAUGCCUCAGCUGGAACAUCAGCAAAGUAGGUCUCAACAAGAACAUUCAAGCCAGACAGAGUUGACUCUAGCUCGGCAUAAGCCUCACUGAAUGCAUGCAAUUUGUGUGAGUCAAGAUCCAUAACAAGCAAUGGCUCAUCAAACUGAAUCCAGGAAGCACCAGCAGCCUUAAGCUCAGAAAUAACUUCCCUGCAGAAGUGUUAAUUGGUACAACACAGAUUAAUGAUGUCACUCGAUAUAUACACACAGAGUUAUUUAGCACAUACACAUUUAUAAAUCAGUAAUAGGUGAUAAUUUCUUACUUGUAGAUUGGAAGGAUUUUCGGAAGAAGAGAAAGAAGAGAAAAGGUCUUCGCAACACCCUUGGCAGGCUUAGACAGCAACAAGUAUGACACAGGGCCAAUAAGCACUGGGACAGUUUCAACUCCAAGCUGCAGCAUUAGACAAGUGAUCGAUAUUAGCAUCUCACAAACUUGAUCUGAUUGAUAGAAAGUUACAAGCAAGUUCAGAAUUCGUUUAAUGAAAUCUCUAUGAAAAAUCUUCAGGGUCCACAAUGUGUUGAAAGUACCCUUUUCAAGUAAUUUAUCUUAAGACUAUUUUGCAAACAGUAUUGCUUUCCUUACAGAUCAAAUAAAUCAAACAACAUAUGAACACAUUUACUGAACCAAGUCUAAGUUCAAAGCUCUAUAAAUAAAUGUCAAUGAAUCUAUAGUAAAUUCUAUUGCAUCCUAAGCUAAAGAUGAGCAUAUCAUAUAAGAAUUUCAAGGUGAACGUAACCCAAUUUCAAUAUAUUGUAGAUUCAGAUAUCAAACGAAAUAAAAUUUGUAAAUAUAGACAGAACUGAGAAUAAACACUCACCCCCUUAGCCUCCUUGUACUCAGUCACAGCCUUGUGGGAAGCGUAGGAGAACUUAACAUCGGGUCCCAAUUCAGGAACAAUGAAAUGACUGCAUCAACACGAAGCCAAACACGCGUCAGCAUUCAGUACAAAACCAUUACACCAUAAAUAACUUGAAAUGCCGCUCUUCCAAGUAGUGAAUACUUACUAGUUGGUGUCGAACCACUUGGUCAUUUCCAUAGCGGGAACAGAGGCGUUUCCUCUGGCCAUGGAGAAGUAAACAUCAAAUCCAAUCUCGCCGCCGUUCCAGUUAUACCUCGGGGGCACGGCACCGAGCAUUGCGGUGGUGUCGAGCACUUGGUCGUAGUAGGAGAAAGUGUUGCUGGGAAUGUAUUUGAUCCCGGCCUGGGACAUCUGUUUCCAGAUGGAGGAUCUGAGAUCAGCGGACACCUUUUGCAAAUCCUCAGCGCUGCUCUUGCCAUCCCAGAAGGAUUCCAACGCGAACUUGAGCUCCCUCUUGGGGCCCAUGCGUGGGUAUCCAACGAUGUGAGAUGCCAUUUUACUGUCAUAAUCACGUCAUCAAUGAAUCGAAAAUCAGUCACUUUCAUUAAAUCAAGAAAAUAUUCAUUCAAAUGGAUGGGUCAUUGCUAUUACUGCUCAAAUCAAAUGAAAUCAAGAACACUUAUCAGAGCAUAAAAUCUUAAAUUAAUUUUUUUAUAAAAAAAUAAAAAACCAGUUGAAACAAGCUGAUAAUAAUCCAAGAGUUUGAGAUGAUUUUUUUCUUUCUGUAAUCACAUGAACAAUUAUGUACUUUCAGUCAUUUUUGAAGGAUUAAAACAAAAAAUUCUACAAAUAGAUUCUGAAAAGAAGAAUCUAAAAAUAGAUUCAAAAACAGUAACACAAGUAGAGUUCAAAUUGUUUUUCGGAAAAGAUUAAUUACAGAUCUGAUUGAUUCACGUUCAGAUCUAGCAAAAUCACGGCAGCCAAACACUAGAUCUAACACUAACAGUCACUCACCAGUCCAUUAGAAAAUGAAAUCAAGUUCAAAAUUCUUUUAAAGUUAAUUCUUUUUUAGAAAAUGACCAGAUUUUAGUUGAGUAUUAGUGAGUUUUUUACAAAAUAAUUUAUUUUUGUUUUUUAGAUCCAAAAGUUCGGAAAUCAAAACCAUGUUCAAUGCUUAUUCAUGAUUAACGGCGUAAAAACGCUACUGCAGAGAAGACAUAACGAAAAUGGGAACCGUACCAAACAGAGAAAGAAGAGCAGAGAAAUUGAGAGUCGAGAGGAGAGAGAGAAGAGAGCGGCGAGUUUGGGGGAGUGCCCUCUCCGUUAUUUAUAGCCAAAAAUCAAAUCUGGUUUGGUGGUUGCCUUUGGCGUGCCAACCUGUAGAUCUGAGAUUUUUCAUCUUAAUUUCUUUCUCUUAUUUAUUUAUUUAUUUAUUAUGAUUUUCAGUGCAGUUCAUAAAAUAUAGAGCUGACGCGCGCUUUUCUGAUGUGGCGCGUGAAUUGGAAAUGCGGUAGGUCUUUGUGGGCCCCACGGCACGGUCAGGACUGAAGGAAAAAUGUGAGAAGUUAUCAUAAUUUCAACAGUGCCAUAAUUAGCAAUUACACCACCAAAUAUUUCUUGAGUUUUUUUUUUUUGAUUGCUUUAAAUGCAGAGUUGUUAUGAAUUGUGUUAAUUGUAGAGUUGUUAUGAUUAGAUUACAUUAUAAUUCGUCACAAUUAUGAUAGGUAUGUACGUAUAUAAUAAUUUAUGAGUAAUGAUAUAACCACAAACUCUUAUACAAACUUAUUUUGUACAAAUUGAUGUGGCAUGAUAAAAUUAGUUGAAUUAAAUAUUACUUGAUCCACAUGAUUUGUUAUUAUUAUUUUAUAUUUUCAUUCAACCAAUGAAUUAAUGACACGUCAGUUUGUACAAGAUAAGUUUGUACAAGAGUUUAUGGUUGUAUCAUCACUCAUAAUUUAUAUAAGAUCUCGAAUAUUUAAAAAAUUUAUAAAUCAUUAUUUUCAUGUACAUUUACCUGGUAGCAAUGACAAUAACAUAAAAUAAACUCCAAACAAGAAUGGAUUAUAUUAUUUAUGUUAUUUUAUAGCUUUUUAAUUGAUUUUUAAAAGGAUUAAUUGUUAAUCAUUACUCUCCAACCGUAAUCACCAUUAAAUAUUUAUUUAAUUUAAUAGUCGGUAGAUCAUAAAUAAGAUUAGAAUAUUUAAUGGACAAUCUAAUUGCUACUACAAUUGUUAUCAUUUUUUUAAGGUAAGGGAUUAGACAAUACUCAAAUUUAUUUUUUAACCCCUUACUCCCUAAAGAUUCGAAUUUAACUAACUAAUUAAAUAAGACUGCUUAAAAACCACUCAACCACAUCUUUUGGGGACCAAUUAAUAUCGAUGUUUAAACUGAGGUUUAUUAUUAAAUUUUUUAAGUUUCAAGUUUCAACCGCUAACAACAUUAUCAUCGAUUAAUGAUAAAUAUAAUAAUAUUUCAUCAAAAAACCAUUUAACACAUCCAUCCAUAUUAAACAUAAGUAAAAAAUUUAUCAUGCAUUUCAAAUAUAUUUUUCAUCCUAAAAGUUAUGGAGAAAAUCUUGAUAUCAAAACUUACAAUGUAAUUAUGGGAUGUAAUUUUGCAUUUGAGGUCAGCACAACUUAAAAAUUACUAUGAAUGAAAAUUUAUAAUAAGCAGACACCACAAAAAAAAAUUAUUUAUAAGUAUUACAAUCAUGCAGUUUUAUUUAAGUAUUUAACCAAGUCAUUCAAUUUCUAAUUAAGACGGUAUAAAUUAGAUUUGGGCUGCCUAAGACCAAAAGUCAAAAAAAAAAAAAGAAUAUUCCUAAUAAGCAGCCUACCGCGGUCACGCGCCUUAAGAAACGCUUGGACUUAGCACACGAUUUUAAUCCAAAAUGUAUAAAAAAGGAAAAAUUUAUGAGGUGUAUAAUUAUCUUGAGUUGUUAUAUUUUGAAGAAACAAUGAAGAAAGUUGGUGGCCGAAGUUGAUCCGGGGCGAAUGGUGGUGGGCCCACGUUGUUGCAUUAUAAUUGGAGUUAUUGUAAUUUUUCUUAUAAUUAAUAAACUCCAUUUUUCAAAGAAAAUAAAUAAAUAAAUACACUCCCGAUUACGAAAAUAUCAUUUCAUGAGUGUCAAAGUUAGAGCUGGCAAAAUUUGACACGACCCGAUUACCUGACACGAACACGACAUAAAUAAAUAAGUAUGGAUCGUCAAAUUUAACACGAUUAUUAAAUGGGUCGGGUCUGGGUCAACACAAUUUUUUUCCGUGUCGGGUUUGGGUUAAAAUUCUUGACCCAUUUACCCGAUCAAUGACCCGAUUAUAUUUUCUAUUUUAAAAUAAUUUACAUAUUCUUAUAAUUAAAACUCAAAUAUUAGAGAUAUUUUUUUUAUUCUUUAAAAUGGUGAAUAUAAACACAGUGUUUUAUUUAUAAAAUUUUACAUACAUUUAGAGCUUCAAUAGUGUAAAUGUGUAAAAAUUAAUAGACAUGUAUAUUUUAUAAUAUUGAUAUAUAAUAUUAUAUAUAUAUAAUUAAAACAUCAAUAGUGUAAAUGUGUAAUAUAUUGGUAGAUAUAUAUAUUUUAUAAUAUCGAUAAAUUAUGUAUGUAUGUAUUUAUGUACAUACGUAUGUAUGUAUUUAUGUAUAUACGUAUGUAUGUAUUUAUGUACAUACGUAUGUAUGAUAGUGUGUAAAUAUUUUAUGUAACUUUUGUUCAAUAUAUAGAUAUUAAACGGGUUAUUGGGUAACCCGAUUGUUUUUCCGUGUCGGGUUUGGGUCUCAAUAUUUUGACACGAUUAUUAAAUGGGUCGGGUUUGGGUCGACCUAAAUUUGACACGACACGACACGAACACGACCCGAUGACCCGUUUUGCCAGCUCUAGUCAAAGUGACCGUCACCUACGCAUCGCGUUUGUUGGGCGGGGUGGGUAAGGUGGGGCGAGGAGUUUGUUUGAUCGUCUGAUUACUUUGAUUUUGAUGAAACGUAUGGACGACGGCGAUGGCUUGCCAGCAAGUGGGUUUAUCAUGAUUUUGAUUGUAUUCGGGGAGAUGCUUAUGUAUAUCCUCAAAACUUCUUGGAAAUGAAAACCGCUGGGGUGGCAAAUCUUGACCAAUAAAGUGUGCGUGAUGUUGCGUUUAUAAAUUUCAAUAAUACUAUUGGCCGAUUGAGAUUAUUUUUAAAAAGUUUAAAAAUAAUUUUUAAAGGUUAAAUGUUAAUUUUAAUAUUGAAUAAAUUUUUAAAAAUUAUUUUUGAUAAAAUCAUUUUAUCCUCCAAUAAAUUUUAAAAAAUAGCGAUACAGUAAUUUUUUAAAAUCUAAUUUUAAUAAUCAAAACUAUUUUUUUAUAUAAUUUUAUAGAUAUCCGCAUAUAUAUAUUAUAAAAAUUCGAAAUCAUUAUUAUUAAUUAGGAAAUAAAAUCAUUAACUUUUAAGAAAUUAUUAUUAUUACCAAUUAUACUGACAUAACAAAAUAAAAAAUUAAUUAAUAUUAUAAAUAUUUAUUUCAGUUAUCAACUAUUAUAUAUACACAAUAAAAAAUAUUUUAUAUACAUAUUUAUAAAUGUAUAAAUAAUUUUUAUUCAAUAUUAUAUCGAAUUAAUCAUUUACAUUCUUGCAACAAGUUAACAAUAAAAUUUACCAAACACAUACGAUUGUUUUUAAAACUCAUAUUAUUUUUUUAAAAAAAAAUUACUAAACCUUUAACUGAUUCUCUUACAACUGAUUAUUUCUACAGUACAAUUAACAACAAUUAUUUUAAAAACUAUAACAUUUUCAAACUAGCCCCAUGACAAUAUUGUUAUUGUUGUUUUUCUUACUCUUAUCAAUAAAACUACGUUGCACAUAAGUGCAUAAAAAUUCACACAAAAUAAACUAUUUAACUUUAGGGUAUUAAUUGAAAAAAAAAAUCAGAUUAAGGUGAAUAAAUAUCAGAAAAUAACAAAUAGAUAAACUCUCACACUCUUUAAAAAAAUUAAUUUUAUAAUUUUAUUUAAAACCAACAGAUAUUACCAAACUUAACGGAUCAAUGUUCCAAUGUUUUCUUUUUAAUUUCAAAACCAACAGAUAUUCUUUGUUCAUUAUAUGACCUCCAAACAAAUAAUUUCAUUAAUAAAAUAAUAAUGAAAAGUAUCGUGGUGAGUACAGAGUAAUUCGGUGGCUAAUAAAAGUCUCUAUUUUUCGUCUCUGUUUUUCAUUUUAACUCUUGGGGUUGGUGCCACUUCGGCCUUGGUCGGAGUGGUGGGCUGCUGCCCUCACAAGUAUUGUGAGGACAGUGGUUCAAGCCCCCACAAAUAUUUUUGUGGGGGCUAACGUACUUAUUUAUUUAAUAUUUCAAAAAUUUCUUCUCCCUCGUGCAAUACGAGUGGAGUAUGGACAUCCCUCCUCUAUAAGGGAUUAUUUGUCUGGGCAUGUACUUCACAGAAUUCAAUGUAAUAAUAUAAGUCUCAAUCAUAUAUUUUUGAUUGUAAAUAUCAAUAUAAUAUAUCUGCUAUAAUAGCAGUUGUAAAUAUCUGUGUAAUGCAAUAAUAUGAUAAUUAAUCAUUAUUCAAAAAAAAAACUCUUGGGGUUGGUAGGCUCGUGAAUGGUCCACGUAACCUCUGGACGUAACACUCAAACAAAGACAGCACAAGGCACAUGAAAAAUGCCUAAAAACCGUAAAACCGUGACGUGUUCAACAUAUUAAUAAAUUUAUACUGUGUUUUCUUUUUUUUUUUAAUACUGUGUUGAUAAAGCACUUACGAUGGAACGACCAAUUCUAUUACUUGCAAAACUAAUUAAUAUUUCACUCUAUCAUCUAACUAAUGGAAGGCCAUCUUAAUUGAGGUUGCAAUAGUUAGAAAGUAGCGGGAAGGGUGGCCAAUGCUCCAUAUUAAUUUGCAUCAAUCCCUUUCUGGUGAAGAAGUACGGGUGAAGUAGAGGUCAAAGUUAGAAGAUGAAGGGUGUGUUUGGGAAUUGAGAGUGAGGUGCUGUAGUUUUUUAGCUGCAGUUGCUGUGAAAUAAAAGUUAUAACUGUGGAAUAGAAGUUGAGAAAAAAAAUUUGUUAAGCUGCCAAAGCCCAGUUACAAAUGUUACCAAACACCUUAGUAGCUAGGCUUUGGCAGCCCAUCUACCCCAUCACACUCCCAAACGGAUUAGAAGGGGACCGGGAUUGCUUUGUCAUAUUUGAAAAUGAUUUUGAAAAAAUAAAAAUUAAGUUCAGAAUUUGGUAAAUUCCUUUAAAAUUUCUUUUAGCAAAAUCACUCUCUCCUUUAGAUUUUGAAAAGUAUGGAAUGAGUAGUUUUUUAAAAUUUAAUUUUGAAAUUCGGAUUCAUAUUUAAUAUAAUACCAUAUAUCAUAACAUGUAUUAUAAAAAUCUAAAAUUAUCCUUAUUCAAUCAAUUAAGAAGUAAAAUCUUACAUUUAAAGAUAUUAUCAUUAUCAAUUAUAUUUAGAUAAUAAAAAAUACAAUUAAUAAAAUAAAAAUAUUUAUUUUAGUUAUCAAUUAUUAUAUAUAUACAUAAAAUGUAAUUAUAUAAACAUAUUUAUAAAUGUAUGUGUAAAUUAAAUUUGUAGAUUUAUGUUUAUAUAGAUCAUUUGCAUUCUUAUCACAUUUUAAAAGUGAGAUUUAUUAAAUAUAUAUAUGAUUAUUUUUAAAAUUUACAGCACUUUUUAAAACAAAAGUAUCAAAAGUUUAAUUGAUUCCUUAUUUUUACUGUACAACUAACAGUAAGAUGUGUUUGGUUCAAGUAUAAAAUGAUGGGAUUGGACAAUUUUAAGAUUAAAUAAUCCUAAUGCAAUGUUUGGUACCAAAAAUAAUUGUGGGAUAAAAAUAGUGGACCCCACCAUUUAAUCCAACACAAUGUCAAAAUUUUAUCACAAAGGGGGGUGUGGGAUAAGCUAAAACUUAAACGUAGGAUAACAAAAAAAAAGCCCAAAAUUUUAUACAACACAGUGAUUUUUUUUUUUUUUUGAGUAUGUCAUCAUCCAAUGAUAGUAUAUAUGCCAGAACACUCUUUUGACGUUAAUGAUAUGUAAUAUUUUCAUAUAUACAGCUAGUGACAUUGUUAUGUAAUUUCUUUUUCAUUUAUAGAUUUAUAUUAUUAUUAUAUUUGUUGAUGAUAUUCUUGUUAUGUUUAUAAUUAUAUUAUUUAGUAAUUUAUAAGUUUAAAAACUAUAACAUGUUAAAUAUAAGAAAAACUUUAAGCGAAGAUUUUGUAUUUUUUAACAAAUUUACCAAUAAUUUUUUAUUUAAGUUAGAUUAUAUUCCAUGUCAUUUUAAAAUAAAUCUAAGAUAAUUUUGAUAAAUUAAUAAAUAAGACAUAUUAUUAGUUACUAACCAAUUUCAUGGCAUACCAAACAUGAGAUAUGAUUAUUUACAGUCUAAUCCAACAUUGCACCAAACGUAAUAGAGUAUUAUAUAUAAUCCAAUGUUAUCAAAUCCAAUCAUAUCUUAUCCAAUCCGAUCCGAUCCAGUCUAAUCCAAUUUGACAUACCAAACAAGCCCUAAUUAUGUUAAAAACUACAUCAUUACCAAACUGACCCUUAAUACAAUCUCAUACAUACAUACAUAUAUAUAUAUAUAUUAAAAAUUAAAAAUUAUCUUUAUUUAGUUAGGAAAUAAAACCAUUAUAUUUAAAUAGAUUAAUAUUAUUACUAAUUAUAUUCAGAUAACAAAAUUAAUAAAAUAAAAAUAUUUGUUUGAUUUAUCAAUUAUUAUACACACAUAUUUAUAAAUGCAUGCGUAAAUAAAAUUUUAUAGAUUUAUGUCUAUUUAAAUCAUUUGCAUUCUUAUAACAUUUUAAAAAAAGAAAAGAAAAGUGAUUUACCAAAUACAUGUAAUUGUUCUUCAAACUUACAACACUUUUAAAAUAGAAUUUAAUAAAUGUUUAAUUAAUUUUUUCACAGCUGAUUAUUUUUAUGGUAUAACUAACAAUAAUCUAUAAACUUAUGGUAAAUAUUUGUGUGAAUGUUGGUCCAUGUAAAGAAGUAAAAACAACGCAUAUAUCAAGCAAUAAGAUAUCAAAACUCUUAGUAAAAUACAUAUACUAAUGAAAGAAUGACAGCAAUGCAAUAAAUAAGAUUAUAAUAUAAAUUAUUAAAAUUGUAUAUUAAAAAUUGAUGUAUGAAAUUCUUUUUAUUUUAGUGAUAGAUAAUGUGAUAUAUUUGAAUAAUUUGAUUAAAUGAAAAGAAAAAUAACAAGUAUGGUUGUGGAGGAAAUAAACCAUUGAACUGUGGAAUGUUAUUAAUUAUUGCUAUUUCAUUAUGUAACGUCCUGAUAAUAAGUACAGUGUUAUAGUAUAUUGAUGGGUGGUGAUAUUGUCACCCCUUAAAUUGUGUAAAGUCAACCUCAUUUACAAAUUUUUUGAUAUAAAUUAAAAAGUACAUUAGUUUUAAUAAAUUAUAUAUUUAUUGAAUAAACUAGAACCGUUAGGGAGCUGUAAUGUUAGCACUGUUUUAACUUAUUAUAAAAAAAAAAGUUAUGAUUUGAUCAUAACUCUAAUUUAGAAAAGAAAAAAGAGUUGAAUUGCUAACAUACUUAAAAAUAAAAUAAAAACAUUAUUAUUAGAUGAAAAAUUGUAAAACUUAAGGGGGCAUUUGCAAGUCCGCCACUACUCAAUAGAGCAUUAUUCAGUACUCGUUAAUAUAUCUCGAACUUUUAGGUUUUUUUAAUAUAUUUUUAAUACAUUUUCUAGAACAUUUAGAUAAAAAGAGUCAGUACUCCAAUUGAGUUGUGAAUAAACAUUUAGAUAAAAAGAGUCAAUACUCCAAUUGAGUUGUGAAUAAACUCAUGUUAAAAAAAAAAAAACUCAUUUUCACACUUGAAACGAUUAGUAAAUGGGUGAUACGAAUUUAACUUGGUCAAUAAUAUAUACCAUCUUAAGUUAACUUCAACUCAUUGAUCUUCUAUAGGGUUGAUCAGCCUGCCACAAGGCCCACAAAUUAUCACCUCUAAUGCUUUUGCAACAGUCGUUAUAAAUGCUGACAAAAUGAAACUUCUAUAUAUUUUGGUUUUUUUUUAUUUCUAUGAAAUAUAAGGCCCUUAUGGCAAAUUUCCAUCCAGCGUGAAAUUUGCUAGUUUGGCCUUGGUACUGUGGCACAUGCGUCAUGCAUGCGUGGCUGAGAUGCUUCUAAAACUAAUAAAUUAUGAAGAAUUCCAAAUUCGUACCAAAAAUAAGAGAAUAGGAGCUUGUCAUAGGUGUCCGCGGAUCGGAUUUUAUGGGUUAAACAUUAAUUCAUAUUUGAUUCGUGAUUUUGUAGAUUAUAAAUUUUUAAUUUAAUUCAAUUUAUGGAUUAGUGAAACUCAAUACAAAUUCAAUCCAUAUAUAUGCAAAUUAGAUGCGGAUUUAACCCAAUGCAUAUUCAAUCCAUCAUUUGGCGGAUUGAUUUGCAAAUUAAAAGUUUUUAAUUUUGUCCAAUCUAAAAAGUAAUUAAAUUAAAAAAAUCUAAUAUAUAAAUAAUUGAUUAAAUAAAAAAAUCUAAUGUAAAAAUAAUUUUACUACCAAUUAAAUUCAAAAUUGAACAAGAUUUAAAUAAAUUUAGAAUAAUACAUUCAAAAUUUUAAAAUAUAACACACCGAAAAAAAAAUUCAUUUAUUUAGAUCAAUACAUGAAAAUUAACUAAAAUUAUGAAUUUAAAUGUUGAAACUUGAAAGCUUGGAUGUAACAGGAAGAAUUUAAGAAACUUGAAGAGCUUGAAAAGAAAGUAAGAAAUUAAGUUUAAUUACCUCAAGUGGUGAAGUGAAACAGUGAUUGGCUUGUGCGUGCGGUGGGAUAGAGAUUUGGUGUUAUAUGUCAAAAUAUUUUGUUUGGCUUGGGGUUUUUGUUUUGCUUUAGAAAUUUUAAUGUUUAGGAAACUAUAUUUGCUUAUUUAAUUAUUUCUUAUUUUAUAUUGUUAUCGAAUAAAAUAUAAUAUUUUGUUAAUUUAGCUAUAAUUUUAUGCUGAAUAUAUUUAUUUAAAACGAUUUUAUUAAAUAAAUGUGCAUAUUUAACGAAGGUCUCUGAAAUUUCAACCUGCCUGCUAAUGAUAGCCAAUACGGCACGACCCACCAAAUGUCGGCCCACGCGGGCUUGUGGGCCAUGACGACUUUUUUUGUAAGGGCCCGGCACGGCCCACGGCACGAGUCCGUGCCCAAAAAAAGCCCACCUACCUUUUUUUUUUUUGUCCACAUGUUCAGCGUGCCUAAAAAAACCCACGUGCCUGACGUGCUUUUUUAAGCCCACCAGCCUAAUAGUAACAACAACAACAACAAUAAUAAUAAUUUCAUAGAAAUAAUUAAUGAAAAAUAAAAUAACAAUUCUAGAAUAACAAUUACAUCUAAUUUUAUUUGAACAACUAAUAUUAUAAUUGCACAUAAACUCUAUUGAAUGAAAAUGUAAUUUUUAAUUUAUUAUAAAAAUAUUUUGUUCAUAAUUUUAUUUUUUUGUGCGUAAAUAUGAAAAAUAUUUCAUUCACAAAUGAAACAUAUCUCCAUUAACUAUUAACUAAGUUAUGAUUUCAUAAAUGAAAUAUUAAUGUCGUAAAAUUUUUUAUUUAUCAUUUAUAAAAUCAUGAUAUUUAUUUAUCCAUUUAAUAAAUUAUAAACAUAAAAAAAUUAGAAUACUUAUUUAAACUAGGACUUAAAUUAAUUUUAAAAAGCCUAUACUAAAAAAAUAUAUUAAAAUUUUUAAUUUCAAGGUAUUUAUAAAAUCAUGAUAUUUUAUAUUUAUUUUUCAUUAAAAAAUUUUAUUUUGAUAUACUUUGGCCCACGUGCUAUUGGUGGCCCACGGGCCGCGUGCUUAGCCCACCAAUAAAGUGUGCUUAUUACAUGCCUUUUCGCGUGCCGUGUUUUGCCCCAUCUCUAAUCAUACCGUGCUUUUAAGGCCUGCGUGCCUAAAAUUCUAGGCCCGCAUGCCGUGCCGUGCCGUGCCGUGCCUCGUGCCGCCUGGCCCAUUGGCCAUCCCUACUGCCCGCCAACCACAUUUGUCCAAGAUCAAUUUGUAGGAAAAAAAUUUGAAAAUCAAUAAUUUAUUUAAUUAAUUGUUAAUGUAGGCAUUUGAAUCCCCACAAAAUCUGGGUGUCAGUUCUAGACUUCUGGUGAUAUAUUUUUCUAAUUAAGGAAUAAAAUAUUUUUGUCAUUUUUUUAAUAUUUUAAUUUACCAGGCAUAUCAACUAAUUAAUUUUUCUACUUAGACUAUUAAUUCAUUACGUGCGCAAUCUGUAGCCCGGCGCUCCAAUCCCAUGCAUGUUACACACAACUCAAUCAUUAUUUAUUUAUUUAUUUAUUUUGACCAACAACUCAAUGUUUUUUAUAGAGCUGUCAAAAUUUGACACGACCCGAUUACCCGACACGAACACGACAUAAAUAAAUGGGUAUGGGUCGUCAAAUUUAACACGAUUAUUAAAUGGGUCGGGUCCGGGUCAACACGAUUUUUUUCCGUGUCGGGUUUUGGGUUAAAAUUCUUGACCCAUUUACCCGAUCAAUGACCCGAUUAUAUUUUCUAUUUUAAAAUAAUUUACAUAUUCUUAUAAUUAAAACUCAAAUAUUAGAGAUGAUUUUUUUUUAUUCUUUAAAAUGGUGAAUAUAAACACAGUGUUUUAUUUAUAAAAUUUUACAUACAUUUAGAGCUUCAAUAGUGUAAAUGUGUAAAAAUUGAUAGACAUGUAUAUUUUAUAAUAUUGAUAUAUAAUAUUAUAUAUAUAUAUAAAAUUAAAACCUCAAUAGUGUAAAUAUGUAAUAUAUUGGUAGAUAUAUAUAUUUUAUAAUAUCGAUAAAUUAUGUAUGUAUGUAUUUAUGUACAUACGUAUGUAUGAUAGUGUGGAAAUAUUUUAUGUAACUUUUGUUCAAUAUAUAGAUAUUAAACGGGUUAUUGGGUAACCCGAUUAUUUUUCCGUGUCGGGUUUGGGUCUCAAUAUUUUGACACGAUUAUUAAAUGGGUCGGGUUUGGGUCGACCUAAAUUUGACACGACACGAAACUGACACGACAUGAACACGACCCGAUGACCCGUUUUGCCAGCUCUAGUUUUUUAAUAUGAAAAGGUAUUGGUUAGCUUUGUCUUUAGUUUUUUCAACUUAUAAUAAGUUUGUAUUAAGGCUCCCUUUGGUACAGAUUUUCAAGUAAAACUUAUUUAGGGUUAUUUUUAGGGACCUCCCCUGAGGUUUGGUGUAUUAACAAUCUGAUAGAAAGUAUUCACGUAAUUACAAAGACCUCCCCUGACAUUUGUAUUAUGUUAAGUGGACUGUUAUUGACUAUUGAAAAUCCAAAAAUACCCUUCCUGCCAAAAUAUUUCUUUAUUCACUGAUGAACUGAUGGGUAAUUCGUGCCAAAAUCACAAAUUACUUAAGAAGAUGAAAAUAUCCAUUGGAUAAAAAAAAUGAAAUUGCUUAAUAAAAAAAUUGACAUUGCAUAAUAAUAAAAAAAAUUGAAAUAAUGUGCGGCGGCAUAGCUGCAUCUUGCAUGCAUAUUAUUAUUGUGAUUUUUUUAUUACAAACUCCUUCAUAACUAAUACAUGCCACAAGAGCAGAGCUAUUAAAAGAAAUGAUUUUCAUAUUGUAAACUUGAUAGUACAGGUGUUGGCACCGACCAUAAAACCCUUAUGAUACCAAUCUUUGCUCCAUCCAUAUUUAAAUCCAGAUCAAGUAAAUAUUAAAUUGGAUUUCAGGUCCUGAAAAUCCUACUCUAUAAUUGAUAUCUUCGAGUUUUGUUGGUGCCUCAAACCUGGAUCUAGAGCAUCAUCUCUGUCAUACUCGGAACACCUAAACUAAUGGACUUGCUGCAGCUGCUUAUUCUUCUUCUGAAAUGAUGCACGCAUAUAGAUUACAGACUUUGAAAUAAGAAAUACAAUAAACAACAUGUAAUCGAACUUAAGAUUUCGGCACACUUGUUUGAAAAUUAGAAUCAAACAAGGAAAAUGGCAAGUCAAUAUUUUUUAAUCUAGAAAAAGGGAAAUUUCAAAGUUUAUCACAUGCCAAAUUCAUAGUCUUGCAUCCACUAUUUUCUAGUUUGAAUAACAAACAAAAGCCUUAGACAAAAACACAGAGAACAUCUCACAUGGGAGCAAAAAUUGUGUGUAGAACAAUAUACUUAAGUUACAUGUGAUUACAAUCACAUUAUUUAGCAAAUACAAAAUUACCUUCUCAAAAAAAAAAAAAAAAAAACAACACCACCAAAUUAUUGAAGGUAUUACAACAAUAAGGCAAAAGAACACCAAAGGCAUGCACAAACCGAAACUAACACACAACUCAAUUAGUGUCAUGACCCCAAACUGAACAAUCAUAUAAGCCAUUGUGGGCUCUCUAAAAGAUUAUCACAUUAUAAGCAAACAGAAACCUAUAUUUGAUGAACUACAUCUAGUACUUACACAACUCUUAAAUCAUUAGGAAAUUGCUCUUAUCAGUCAUUACCCAAUAGUUUUUUUCAACUCAACACUAACAACCCCAAAGAGAAACAACAUCCAGCACCAUUUUCAUUAAUUAAAACAGACCCAUUGUUAUUUUUAAUCAAUAAAAUAACAACAAUAUCGUGUAAGCCACUGAUUCAAGCAUUCAAGCUGUGUUUUCGAAGACUGACCUCUUCUUGCUAUCUAAUUCCAGUCACGAUAGACGCUAGAUGCCGGCAAUACUCGCUUCUUGGAAGCUCUGGACCACCGCACGACGUCAUCUUGUGCAGUAGAUGAAAAUAAAUCAAUGAUUUCAGAAAUUAUUUGUGAGUUGCAGACGCUUCUUCUCCAUGGAUGAAAAUGAUGGUGGGUUUUGUUCAAGUGUAAGCUGUGUUUACGAGGAGAAGUACACUUUGUGAAAAAAUCAUUUUCUUUCAUCUACUGGAUAAUGACUUUGGACUGGGUAAUGGUGUGUUUAAGUCUCUAUUUCACGGACAUUGAAGCAUAUUUUGCUUGAAUUUUGAUUUUGUUUAAAUUUCAAGUUUACUUUUACUUGUUUACCCUUUUAUACUGACGCUUAUGUAUUUUUAUACUAACGUUAAGGGAGGUCUUUGUAAUUAUAUGAAUACUUUCUAUCAGACUGUUAAUACAACAAACCUCAGGGGAGGUCCCUAAAAAUAACCCAACUUAUUUAAAUAGAACUUUUACAAAAAAAAAUUUAGUUAUUUGGUUGUCAAUAAACUUUUCAAGUAUACUUUGUUUGGUACAGCUUUUCAAGUAAAACUUAUUUAAGUAGAGCUUUUACAAAAAAAAAAAAAUUAGUUGUUUGGUUGUCAAUAAAAAUUUUUAUUAAAAAAAAUAUGAAAUUACUUUAUUAGUCAAGUUUUUUUAAAGUUAUGCUAUGAAAAGAAUAAAAUAAGAUUGUCAAAUAAAUAGAAAAUAUUUUAAAUAUUUUAACAUUUAAAAAAACUUUUUAACCUUUAUUUUCAAAAAUCUAAAAUUUAAACUUUUACUAGUAAAGGCAAAAUAAUUUAUUUAAACUUCAAAAGCUUUAUUAGAAAAAUAAUCAAACAAUAACAAAAAUUAUUAUAAAAGCUUAUCGAAUUAAAUAAGUACUUAUAGUUAUUAAAGAAGUUAUAUCUAACAGACACUAAUGCCGAAAGCCCCUUCUAAUUGUGGGUGUAAAAGUUUGAAUUAUGCAUACGGUUAAGGAGUUAAGGUGUGUUUGGCAACUGCAUUAAGUGGAAAUUUUUAUUUUGUUUCGAAUAAAAAUACAGCAAGCUCGUGUUCGGCUCAAAAUAAUGGAACGUUUAAUUUGCAACCGUCGGCGGACGAAGCACACCGUUCACGGCCCUUCGUAUAAAAUUGCAUAUGUAAACGUAAAUAGGUCCGGAUUCAGAUUCGUUGCUGUAGAGAGUGGCACGCACGAUCGGGCUGCUGUCGGUGGUAGGUUGGCAUUGGAAUUCUCAUCACGCGCUUCCCCAGGCGCCUACUUAUGGCAAAUUGACACGUGACGCGUGUGGAUUGAAUGGACAGAGUCCCGGGCAGUGUGUCCAAAGCUGCCAACCGUGCUCUGAUUUUUGUCAUCCAUAAUGGCUAACGACUAACGAGGGAGAUUUCCGGGCAGAAAGAAAUUGUUGUCGUUUCUGAAGGGGAAAAAAAAGUUAUUUAAUUUGUUGUUGAAGACAAAAUGAAGAUCUAAAUAAAUAAUGGCUAAUUUUGAGUGUAAAGCAACGGUAAAUGCAUUAUUAAAUUAGAUUUAGGGUCUGAUUGAGAUUAUUUUUAGAUUUAAAAUUAAUUUUGAAAAGUUAAAAUUAAUUUUGAUGUUUAUUAAUUUUUAUUAAAAAUUAUUUUUGUCAAAAUCUCUCAUCCUCCAGCAUAUUAUAAAAAAUAAGGAAGAAAUAAUUUUUUAAAAUUUAAUUUUAAGAAUCAGUUUUAUACUUAAUAUAAUCCACAUAUAUCCUCGUAAAUAUUAUAAAAAUUUAAAAUUAUUCUUAUUUAUUUAGGAUAUAAAAUUAUUAAAUUCAAACAUAUUAUUAUUAUUAUUAUUAUUGUUAUUAUUAUUAUUAUUAUUAUAAAUUCACACACGCACACACAUACUUAUAAAUUUAUAAAUAAACUUUAUUUAACAUUUUGUUCACUUAAAUCAUUUAUAUUCUUAUAGCAGUUUAACAUUAUGAUUUACCAAACACAGAUAAUUAUUUUUAAAAUCCAUAAUAUUUUUUAAAAUAAAUUUUAAUAAAUGUUUAACUUAUUAUUCUGACAACUGAUUUUUUUUGUAAGGUAUAACCAUUAAUAAUAAAUAUUUUAAAAGUUACAGUAUCCCCAAAUUGGCCCUUACUAAUACUCUGCGUUGCCAACUAAAUACUAAUUGUAACAUUAAACAUCUGGAAUAUUUUUCUCUAACGAAACAACACAAUUAAUUUCCCUCUAAAAAAGAAAAAGAAAAAGAAAAAAUAAACUACCAACCCCACCCCUUUAGACAGCAGAGUUUUAGCUGAGGCGGCUUGCUUGCAUAAGCAUUAAGGCUGCUCUUCACCAACCAUUGAACAUUCUUUCCAUUUGAUUGUUACACUUUACUUCGCCAUCUCAUGUCCAUGUACAUUGUUUUGAAAUGAAGACUUUGCGUACAACUAAUCUUUUUCAAUUCAUAAUAAAAACUCUUUUAAUUAGUUAAUAGCUAUAGCUUCCAAUUGAGACUAUAUAUAAAAAUCCAUAUUGACUGACCAAACCAAUAAUUUUUAAUUGGCUUGAGCAUUGUCUUACUUACUUCAAAAUCGUCACUCUCUUUGAAAAGAACAUGAGAGAGUUCACCUCCAUCUCAACCCUUAACCCUAUAUCUCAGUCAAGAGAUUAUUCAUGGAAAAUUCAGAAAAAAGAAAUGUUGCAAUAUUUACGAAACUCACGUCACGUGAGGUAAGAUAAAUUAUUCCUUUCUGCUUUAAUUCAUGUACAUAAUCAUGAGAAUAACUUUAAUUAUAGUUUAUUUCUCCGUUUUAAGAUUUUUCCUUUUUUUUUUUUAAUUAAUUAAUUAUAGUUCAUUCAUUAAUCCCAUAAGAAAUUAACACCUUUGCCGGUAAAGUCACACAUACAACAAUAUUUUAGAACAAAAGGGAAGAUCAUGCACGAUCAUGAUGUUUUAUUAUAUCUCUAGCAAUAUAAUUAUCUUAUAAUUAAUUAAAAACAAAACAGGUAAUUAAGCCAAAGUGGAUGGCAUGCAUCAAUCAUCAUGCAGAACACCUCCCCUUGUUUUAAAUAUAAAUAAAAGAAAUUUGUGCCCAGAAGACUUAAUUAAUACUUCUCGUUUCUGAAGUGCUCACAUGAUAUAUAGUCGGACGCAUUAUAUUUAAUUUCAUGAAUUAAUCGUACGGUUGUAUUUUGAGAGAGAGAGAGAGAGAGAGAGUGACUGAGUAAGAUAUGGCUUAAUUUAACCAAAUCUACGUAUAAAAUUUUAAAAUGAAUUUUUGAGUUUUAACUUAGGAAUUGUCUAUGAAUAAAAGUGUUAAUCAAAUAUUUCGUGUAAAAACAGUCAGCUGUAACAUUUUCGGUUGCUUUAACAAAACUGUAUAUUUCUGUAAUUUCCUAUAUGGGCCAAAAGGAACAUUUUUCUCAGAAAUUAAAAACUUAUGGUGAAAAAGAUAAGAAAACCAACAGGUUCAAAGGUGCGAGUAAACUGGGCUCUGGUGCGCCCAACUCCCUCUUUUGAUUUUGAGACUCUAUUGACCAUUGAGUUUGAGGCCCCAACGGCCCAGUUUAAAACUGUUAUGAAAAGAAAAAAAAUAUAACUAUAAAAUUAAAAUUAAUAAUGUUUGAUAAAUAUAAUUUUUAAAUAAUAAUUUGACAAAAAUAAUAUAGGGUCUUGUGUAUAUUUUUAUUUGGCAUUUCAAUUAAUCUGCUUAUAUAUAUAUAUAUAUAAGUUAAUCUAUAUUUCUUGCAAGAAGAUAGUAUUUCUUUAAUUAAAGUCAUAACUAAUAUAUAAAUUAUCAACUAACCAUCAAACAUUUAUCUCAUUUUAUCUCCACCACGAUCAUCACCAUUCAUCCUGUCACGAUCUUUAUGUAACUACAAUUAUUUUUUCUUUAAUAAUGUCAACCCACCAACCCCAUAACAAUAUCUCCAAACAUCUCAUCUCAAAAUUCCUAAUAACAUAAGUGUUUAUGUAUGAAAGAAAAUGUGAAAUAUAUAAUCAAAAAGUAGUUUAAUAAUAUAAUGUUUAAAAAUUAUGGUAAAAAUAAGUGAGAGUUUGGCAUGGCAAGUUAAUAAAAAGAUAAAAGCUCGGACACUUGAUGCAUCAAAGUAGCAAUGUCUGUCCAUCAUUAUCAUCAUGCGGGUUUAGGUGCUUCUCAUGAUAGCAUUAGCUGGUAAGACCAUCAUGCAUCGUACUUUCAUUGUUAUACAUUUUGAAGGUAAGAAUGGUUAUGUUACGUCCCUCCGAUUAGGUGUAUUUUUCUUCUUCUUCUUCUUCUUUUUCUUCUUCUUGUACGUAAUAAUUUCUCUUUCUUCCAUGAAGAUUUCUUUCUCUCUUUCUUUUUUUUUUUUUUAUUAUAAAUAAAAUGAUAAGAACUAAUUUCCUUACUAAUUGGUAGGGUCGUUUAAUGGUUCAGAUCCAUUAGAUUUUGUCAAAUUCAAGUCCAAUCCAUCAUAUAUUCCAUUUUAUAUUCCGGAUCCGAUCACUAAUAGAAAUCCAUUAUAAUUUAAAACAAUAAAACGUCGAAUCCAAUUUAAUUCGAUAUGAUCAAUCCAAUUAAAAUAAAAAUUUACAAAUAAAAAUCAUUAGUUGCUCUCUCCAGUUAUAAUUCUUAACAAUUAAAAAAAAUACAAAAUAUCAACUCCUUUAAUAUUUCAUGAUUCAUGUACUUUAUUAUCAUAUGGUUGGAAAAAAAAGUUGAAAUUUGAAUAUUAAAAGCAAAUGUUGGUUGCGACCUGCUGUUUGUAUUCUAUAUUGUUAUAGUAUAUUUAUAGUUAUUUUUUUAGCAAGUUAAAUAUAAAAGUGACAUAUAGUUUUUUUUUAUAAAAAAAAAUAAAUAAAGAAAAUAAAAAAUUAAUUGGUUGGAUUGGUUUAUAUUGGAUUUGAACAUAUAGAUCCAUAGACCAAUCUAAUAACAUUAUAUUUUUUAUUUUGCAAUCUUAUCCAAUCCAAUCAAAAUGUCAAUAUGACAAAAGUUGGAUUGGUUUUGAUCAGAUCGAUUGGUUUGAUUGGAUUGAAUUGAAUUAGAUCUUGAACAUCCUACCAAUUAGACUUUCCGUGAUUUUUUUUUUUCCAAAUUUAAUAAAGAGACUUCCCAUGAAUGUUAAAUGCAGUUUUAUUGAUGAAUUCUGCAAUUUUAAGAAAUGUUUGAUACACGAAUAAUGCAUCUCAUCAACCAAGUAACUGCGUCCCCUGCAGCAGCCGCGGCUUCAACUGGAAUACUGCAGCCACACCGGUCUUGAGACUCAACAUUCGGCCGAAACUCAAGCAAAAGUUGAACAAUAUCAGGCCUGCUUUGAGCUAUAGCAAUAUGAAGCAAUGUUUGUCCCUGCGCACCAGCAGAAUCAGCUGGGUGGGUUCCAAGCAGGGUCACUCUGUUCAAGAACCUCUCUUAUCUCAUCCAUUUCACCAUCCUUAACUAGCUGAACCACAACAUGGGACCCAACAAACAUGAUCUUGAUUCCUAUUGAUGAACGCUGGCUUCUUCCUUCUUGUGAACCAGUCACCAGGAACCGAAUCAAGCAUCAAUGUUGCAUCUUUAAUUGCAGCUGCAGGAACGACAACGCUAUGCAAGAGGAAGGAAUCAUCACAGUGAGGGAAAGUAUGAAGGAGAACUGAUCCUGGAGGAAGAUGAUACGCAAUCUCUAUGCUUACUGUUCCGAGUGGUUGCAUUGACCUGAAUAGUUCGAUCUAUUUCUCGUGUAUCUACUUGCGCUGCACUUUCACUCGAAGAACCUACAAAAUUAUUCAUAACCCGGCAUAAAAAAGACGUAAAGUUUUCAGCGCGAGCAUGGUAACUUCAAAACCCGUUUCAUACCUAUCAUAUUUCAUUCGUCCCGCACCCUCAUUUAAAAGACUAGAGCUUAUAAAAACUAGAAGUACCUUACCCAGAACAUAAAAGCAGACAAAACCCAGUCGAGUAUAAAUAUAACGUUGAAUAACACCUACCAUUUACCAUUUCAUUCAAGAACACCACACAAUUAACGAAACCAACAUCGGUAUGUUUUCAGCCGUUGUACUUUCAACUUAAUUUUGAAAGCGCGGCAGCUAAAGCCUAAACUGUUGUUUGAUAAAAGUCCACCCACUGACUGCUACCUGGCGGCUACCGAUUCCAUUCAAUAGCAGUCAUAAAAUAAAAAGUACAAAACAAACCUAUGUACAAAAAAGGCAAUGAAGCAGCCAUGGAUUCAGUUAUUUGCAUGUUUGGGAUUGUGGUUGAUUCCAAAUUGAGAAUAUACUGCGAAAUUAUGUUUGAUAAGCAUUUAUCUGAUGAUUGCUACUUUAUUGAGUGCCUGUUUGGUAUGGCUUAUUUAAAAGCCAUAAGUGCUUAUUUAAUCGUAUAAGCACUUUUUUAAAAUUUUUAUGGUGUUUGGUUAUUUUUUUAGUAGAGUUUUUUUAGCUUAAAUAAGCUAAUUUACCUCUACUAGCAAAAGCCCAAAAUUUGAGCUUUUGGGAGUAGAGGUUAAAGAGCUUAUCUAAAAAAUAUAUAAUAAAAAAAAUAUCAUACAGUUUAAUGAUUCAAAAGUGUUUUUUUUAUUGACAACCAAACACCCAAUGACUUUUUGUCCAAAAACUCUAUUGGUAUAAGCUCUAUUGUUAUAAGCUCUAUUUAAUAAGCUGUACCAAACGGAGCCUGAGUCUUCAAAGAAAAACUCAAUCAACUAAUGCUCGAUUUUUUUUUUUAAAUGACAAAUCAAAAAGUAUUUUGGAGUAGAUUCUCAAAAGAGUGAUUAUUUGAUAAUCCACCAUAAUCCCACUUAGUUAUCAGAAAUAAAUUAAAAUCCGACGAAUGUUACUUAAGCCAAACAGCAUUAUUUUAUUUUGACCACAAGGACCACAACCCUCAAGCUGUCAAGCAACCGUUACCGUUAACGACCAAUCUUUCACCUCUCCGAAUCUUUGCAAGUCACUAUCAAGCAACCGUUACUAAUAUUUAAUCAAUUAUUAGGAUUAUUGGAUUUCUCAAAUACCUUAUGUACUUUGGUUCACUUUCUACUAAAAUAAAUAUUACAGGAGCUUUCAAAGUCUAGGCUAAGGUUGUUGUAAACAUAGAGAGAUUCAGAGAUAUAACAGCUUGUAAUUACAUACCACAAAGCAUAACUUUGUUCGAAUGAUAAUGAUCAUAAUCCAGAUUAUAGACGUAGAGAGAGGAGAAGUCGUACUUGAGGGGCAAAACGCGGCGUUUUGGCUCGUGGAUGAGGUGCUGCUCCUGAUCGUCGUAGAUUGAAGGGAGGAGAGGUCGGUCGAGGAAGUUUAGGAGACGGUGGAGGCUGAAUUGGUGAAUUUCGAUGAAGACUGACGAAUCCAAUGGGGCUUGAGGGUUUGAUUUGCAAAGAUGAAAGAUAAGAGCAUUGUUUUGGUUUCUGUGCAAAAAAAAAAAAAAAAAAACAUGACAAGCGUUGUUUUGGUUUUGGUUCUAAAAAGAUGAAAAUUUGACUGCAAUGGAUCCAUACGCAGUCGGUGUCAAAUAAGAGGAGAAACAAAUAUGUUAAUCACUCGCUCAAUCACUCAUGCGAAGUGCCUUUUUUUUCGUUGCUUUGGCUUCUGAGAAAUAUAUGCAUCAGAUAUUACAACUCUCGAGGAUAAUGCAUUUUGUUCCGGUUUUGACUGAUAUUUAGUGGCAUUUGAUAAACUGAUACCUCAGAACCUGGUAGAGAGUUUAUUAAAUACAAAGAGAACAAAAAUAUAUGACUAUAUAAGCUUUUACACGGUUGAAGAUCCGGUCAAAUUGGCUUUAGUUAGCAAGAUCAUUUAAAACUUUCAAAAAACGAAUGGUAUCAAAAAGCUCUGAGAAAAAGCGGAAAAAAGGCACCACAAAGAUCUUGCAAUUAUUAUCACAGCUUGAUAAGACAUGGAAAUGUAUCUUACAAAUUGGCCUUCCAAGCAUCAAAGAAUUGGGUGGCGACAACUCCCAUUCCUAGCUGCUACCGUGGCCAGUCCCUUCUAACUAAAAUGGGACAGGACCAAAAGCAAGGUCUCUCCCACUCUCCUUAUGUAUAUAAAAUUCCCUACAUUCGAAUAAAACUACAGAAAAAGAUUUGCACAUCAUCUUCUUUCACCUUAUUUUGCAAUCUUCAAGAGUUUGGAAGAUUUCAAAGCACUUGUUAGAAUGUAGCACUCCAUUAAGCAUUCUCACCUUCCCCACACCCCAAUGGACCUCCUUAAUCCUAUCGGCAGACCUACAAAUUCUGCUGCAACUCCAAUCAAAUAAAGCAACACAAUUGUUGCCUGCCUAAGCCUUCCACUCACAGCCUGCAAUGACAAGUUCAUGAUACAAAAUCAGAAACAUUAAUAAACAAAAAGAUAUUACCAUUACUUGCAGAGGGGGAUUUGUUGCAAUUAGUAAAUGCCAUACUUAUCACUUUCAUUGCAGAUAUCAUCAUCAUCAUAAUACUAGCAAUCCAGCACUAAUAGUCAGAAUAAUAAUAAUAGUAGCAUGAAUAAAGAAUUUCUGCAGAGUAAGCUCUAAAGAUGCCGAAAGUGUCAUCUAUUAUGUUAAUAAUAAAAAAGUCUAUCAAGAAUUCAAGGAAAGAAAACUCAUUAACAAAGAACUAAACUUUUUAAUAAUGUUUAAUAAACUACGUACCUAUGAUUUUCUAUUAUUAACAUAAAUGACACUACGUACAACUGAUUUUCGCUUUCUAAUGUUUCAAAUCAUACCGAGAAAUAUAACAAUUACCAAGUCAGUAAGUAGCACAAUUACUUAAUAAGACUUUGACUUGUCUAACCCAAAAUUGUACCCAAUUCUAUACUCUACCAUGAAAAGCUUAUGAAGCCGAACUUACUUUGACCAAACAGUACUAUUAGCUCAGUUAAAGGAAACCACAAUUGAACAAAGUUCAGCUGAAAUAACUGAACUAAAAAAACUUGAUAAAAUUAAAAGUAACUUAUAACAGUUUAGUAAAGAAGCAUACAAAACAUGAAGAUAAAUAAACAUAGGUCUAUUUUCUUGACACUACCAGGUCCUUUCCUUUUUUUUUUUUCAGAUAAGAUCUCGAUACUACCAAGUUUUGGAUUCAAAAUCACCAUAUUACAAUAAUAGUUGUGAUUCAUGGGAUACAAUAUGUAGCAGCUUAUAUGUCGGCAAUUAUAGUCAAAGAUGGUUGUCAAACAUCAUCGCAAAUCAAGAAGCUAAUAAAGACCAUGUCACACUACAUUAACAUAUAUCAGUUCUUUGAUACAAAGAUAUUGAAUGUUAUACAUUUCUAAUCCCAAGUCCUGAAAUACAAAACAAAAGUUCACUUCACACAGUCAUAAAGCUAGACUGCUAGAUAAAUGGACAAUAGGCAUUGGAUAUGGGUCAAUAAACUAUUAAGCUAAUUAAUGCACACGAAGGAAUCCGUUAGAGCUAGUAAAAUAGCCCUUACCAGAGAACUCGCAGAAGCAUUCAAUUUCCUCAAAGGAGAUAACUUACAACAUAAACAUUUUGAUAAGCAGCAACACACAUAAAAUAGCUUCACUCACUAGCAACAGAGCAACUUCUUCAACACAUUAAUAAAUCCAUUUUCAUUUUUAAACAACAAAAUAAUGCCCAGUUUCUCCAGCACAAAUAGGGUAAGCAGUAAUAGAAAAACAUGAUACAUAGGAAUUACCGGCCUCAAGAAAUCUCCAAGCUUUCUGUCCUCUGCUUCAAUUGCUCAAUCAAGAAUGCCCCAGACGUUGCGCUAGCGUGGUGGUGGAGCGUCGCGAAGCGUGUGGCGGCGGUGUCGGCGAAGGCAGGUCAUGAAGAUAGUUGGUGUCGCGCAGCGAAGGCAGUGCAGCUGGUGUCAUGCGGCGAAGGCAAAUCGCGUGGUGGUGGAGUUGGGGUCGCGCGGCAGUGGCGGUGCGGUGCUGAGGCAUAAUAGUGGCGGUGGCGUUGUGCGACAGUGGCAGUGUGGAGGCAGAUUGCGUGGAGCUGGCGGUGUUGAGGCAGAUCGCGUGGAGGCAGAUGCCGCGGUGGUGGAGUUGCUGUCGCGAUCAACGCCUGUGAAAGGGAAUGAAAGUGAAGGAGAUACCUACAAAAGAAAGAACGAGUGAAAUUUUUUUUUUUGUUCAAGGGUUUCAAACCCACAUAAACCCGACUCUCACACGGGUUCAGUAAGUUUAUGCGGGUUUGACUGCAUUACAAAUUGGUAUGACCACAACAACAGUACAAUGAUUGGUAAUUACCAAACAUGCUAUUUAUGUUGGUAUUAAAUUAAUUUAAUACAAUGAGGAGUGGUAAUAUCAUACAAUGAGGACUGUUAAAUAUGGUGUGUUUAAUAUGUUGUAUUGUAUUAUAUUAUUUUAAUACAAAUAUAUUAUAUUAUCUUGUAUUAUAAUAAUAUUAUAUAAUAUUUUGUGCUACAUUGUGUUGUAUUAAUUUAUAAUUAUAAUAUAUUUAAUGUUGCACCACGCUGUACUAAUUUUUUUAGUAAUCAAUUUAAAUUAUAUAUUUUACAAAUAAUAUUUAUUAAAAUACUUAAAAAUGCUAAAUAUGAAAAUAUUGAAUUUUAAAAAUUUAAUAUUAUUUUUUUAAUAUAAAUAUUAAAAAAUAUCAUAAUUCUUCAUAGAAAUCGAAGUUCAUGGCAUUAAAUUUUUAACGCCGCAUACAUAAUAAAAAAUUUGAUUCUCUAGUGCCAAUAUAAUAGAAUACAUAAAAACGAGACUGAGAAACUACGAAUAAAGCUCAUCAUCAAGGACUCCACAACAUUAUAAGAAGUACUAUGUAACAUUUGCCAAAUUACAACACCACAUCAAGACAUAUCACAAUGUAAAAUUUUUCCUAGAGAUUUGGUAAUUGAAAAACACAAUUCAAGUUGAAAACUGAUAGUCGACUUGAAAAGUUUUAACAUAUCCCAUAAAAGAAAUGUGCCAUGCCAAAAAUCCUAACCCUUGGCUCUUUGACGAUAAGAAAAUAUUGAAAAUUCCAAAGUACAGUGCAAUGGGAGAAAGAAUGCCUAUAAAGCUAGUAAAGAUAUUCUUAAACUACUAUUGGGAUGUUGGGCUGGUUGGUAGCAAAACCCAAACCCUGCUGCUGAUUUCCGAUACCACCAUCUUGGAUAAGCCGCUCUCCCUCCUCUUCCUAACUCCUAAGCCCAAUAUCUUUCCAAAACCUUCACAACCCACUCAUAAAUCUCAUUGUUGUCGUGGAUAUGCAAAUUCUCAAUCUUUUCUACUCCAUCACACUCAUCAAUCAUUUGGGUAUAAACAUUAACCCAAUUAUCCAUUCCUAUUUCCUUGUUAACCUCACCCACCUUGAAAAUGUUCUCAAGACCCUAUAGACAAACUGUGACGAUCCUUUGGUCCAGACAAACCAGAAGAUCACAGAGCGGUUUGAUGCAACCUUGGCUCACCAGGAAUCUGCAGGACCAUGGUACCAUAAGUGAUUCUAUCACAUGAACAUCAUUAGAUUAAAAAAAGAAAAAAAAAAGAAACAUCUAUCGUAUGAACAUUGCUGAGUGAAUAAAAGAAACAUACUGAAUAUGUUCAUGAGAUCCUCCAUAUGUGGCAUUUAAGACAGGCCAUGCAGCCUCCUUGAUUUCAAGUUCUGCAUGUUGAAGAAGAGGUGCACAAAAGGAAGGAUAAGGAAGGAUGAUAUUGGCCUCCAUAACAGCCUGUUGAACAAAAAUUCGACAAAUUAUAAUUAUGAGUAUAUUUAAGUAGCAAUUUUGUCAGAAUUAACUAGACUUGACUAUUGAGGAAGUCACAUUCAAAAAUAGAAAAGACGAGCAAGCAAUUGUAUUCAUGCUAUCGGGACCAAAAUACUAUGAUGCAAGCAAGAAAGAAAAACAUACAUACAUAUAAAACACUAUCUUUGAGUUGGGUAUUUUCUUUCAAUUUUGAUAAUGGCAACUUUGGAUUCUUCUGCUGAAUUACCACCACCACCACACCAUUGUAGUUUCACAUACUAAGAAAAGGCAGGUUCAGCUCCCGUGCAUGCCCAUAAGAAUAUGAUGUAUUAAUUAGAAGUAAAAUUAAUCUGUUCAAUUAAGUUCUCUCAUAUAUUUGUGUGCGUGUGUGUGUUAAUUAGUUUGCUUUCAAAUCUUUUCUCCCUUCUUAAUGAUAUAUAUUUUAAGCAUGAUAUCAACCACGAUGAAUUUAUUAGCCGAUUUUUAAUUAUACAUUCAGCAUGAUAUCACAAACCAAGAGCUUAAGUUAGCCUAAUUCUUCAUAAAUCUAAUAAUUGCAAUCAAUAAUAAUGCUGAAAAUACGAGUUUGAAUUAAGCUAGCAACUGGUUCUUAAAUUAUGCAAUAUGUAAUCAUAGGUUUACUUAAAGAUUAAAGCAUUUCUGCAAUCCAUUGUGCAAAAAGAUUAAAAAAAAAAAAAAUAGUUGCCAAAUUUUAUCUAAAUAAAAAUUCCUUUAGUGGUUAGUACUUGUGAAUUAUAGAAAUUAUUAUUAGUACUUGCUCAGCGCUUUUUAGAUUUGUACAGGUAGAUUACGCCAUUUCAAACCCGACCAUCCAUUUAGACAUACAAAUCCCCCCAAUUCCCUGUCCUCCGCCUUUACGCGACUCUCCACUGUAUGUGCCAACUAAUUAAUUUUUUAAUUACUUGUUUAACUAAUUAAUUCAUUUUCUCAAAAGCAAGAUUAAUCUAUUUGUUCAAAUCUGAAGGAGAUUAAGUUAAUUGAUUUUAUUGUAUGUAAAAAUAUACAAAGAACUCAUGAAGCCAACUAGAAAAAAAAAAAAAGACAAAAAAAAAAUCAAACCCAGAAAUAAAAAGACAUGCUUCGACAGAAAAUUAAUGAAAAUUAUACUGAUUGUGGUUCAAUUUGAUCAAACCCAAAUAAUAACCGGUUUGAUUGAUGACUCAGCGGCAAAGUGCAGGCGCAUCAGUGGUUGCACAGAUGAGUGUUCUCGUGCGGCACGACAAAGCAAUUGUCGGCGAUUGUGAUUGGUGAUGACAUCGAGCGAUGGGGGUAAUGGCAUCGGUCGUGACUUUGUGAUGGAGAAACGAAUGUUAGAUUCGUUCGAAGAUUCGUGUUUUGAUUGAAUAACAAAGAGAGAUUUUAUGAGUUUUAAUUAUCUAAUACGAUACCGCAUAAACCCGACUCGUACGUGGGUUUAUUUUAUGCGGGUUUCGGUGUACUAAAGCAGUAAAUUUAUGUGGUGCAAUUCAAACUGAUUUCACCGCCAAAAGAUCGUGUAAAUUUAAUAUUAUACAGGGUUUUAAUACUAUGUAAUCCAAUACACCAAACAUGCCCUUAAAAACGGAUAGCAAUCCGGGGCCUUUAAAAACGGAUAGCAAUCCGGGGCCUUUAAAAACGGAAAAUACAAGCAGAGAAAAAGAAAAGCCAAUUGUUCAAAAGUGCCUAAUAUGCCCACGGAAAAUUUUCGUCACGACCCACAGUUACUCGAAUAGGUAAUAAGACAGGAAUGCCUUUGUUUGUUCGAAUAUAGAAGCACAAUGGCUCAGAAAGGAUCCCUCCAAUCUCCUUGGCACUGUCAGCUGGGUGCGGAGUAGCUUGGUGGCAGCAACCAUGUUUGAGAGGGCUGGCUUCACCUCAGUGUACUUGCGAGUCUUGAGACCACAGUCAGGGUUAACCCACAAAAUGUUGGUUUCUAGCACAGUACGCAUCUCGUAGAUUCUGUCAACAAUUUCUUCGGUUGAUGGUAUUCUUGGAGAGUGGAUGUCAUAGACGCCAGGGCCAAUUGCAGCAUCAUACUGGACUCCCUCACGGAAGACUGACAGGAGAUUCUCAUUAGAACGAGAGUUCUCAAUGGUGAUCACAUCAGCAUCCAUGUCGAUAAUUGAGUGGAUAAUGUCGUUGAAGUUGGAGUAGCACAUGUGGGUGUGGAUCUGUCAAUCAAUAAACAAUAGAAUGAGAUACAAAAUCAACAGCUAAAUUAAAGAGAUGAGAUUGGAGAUUAAAAGGGUAACUGACCUGGGUAGUGUCCUGGAUGCCACAGUUGGUGAUUCUGAAGGAGUGGACUGCCCAGUCCAAGUAGAAAGCAUGCUCAGAUUUCCUGAGAGGCAAUCCUUCCCUCAAGGCAGCCUCAUCAAUUUGAAUAACGUUAAUGCCUGCCUUCUCAAGAUCCUCGACUUCGUCCUUGAUGGCCAAAGCAAUCUGGUAGCAGGUUUCAUGUCUGCAAAAUUGGCAGCGAUUGAUGUUAAACAAUGUUUCCAUUCCAAAAGGUUAACCAAUAGUGAACCAGUUCUCAUUUAUAUACCUGGGCUGGUCAUUUCUGACAAAGGACCAGUUGAGAAUGGUGACAGGGCCAGUAAGCAUUCCCUUCAUUGGGCGAGCAGUCAUGCUCUGAGCCCAGGAGGACCAGAAGACGGUCAUAGCCUUGGGACGGCUCACAUCACCAUAGAUGAUGGGUGGCUUCACACAGCGAGAUCCAUAGGAUUGCACCCACCCAUUGGCAGUGAAGGCGAAACCUGAUAACUGCUCUCCAAAGUACUCAACCAUGUCGUUUCUCUACAAAAACAAAUGUCCGAAUUCAAUUUGAGAUCCAGCAUACUUCGUAUGCAAUUAGAAAUGCAGAAACAAAAAUGUAUAAAAUUUUAUGUAAUUCAAAACCAGGAGACAUUGCUUUGCUUCCAUUGGGCAUUGCGAGACUCACCUCAGGCUCUCCAUGGACAAGGACAUCAAUAUCAAGCUCUUCUUGGAGUUUGACAACCUUGUUGAUUUCCUCCUUGAUGGAAGCAACAUAUUCUUCCUCAGAAAUCCUAAAAAGGACAAAUAGUCACGGCACAGUUAAUACAGUAGUUGCAGUAAUUUCACACAUGGCAUUGAAUGAAGAAACACCUCAGAUUGACUCACUUCUUAGCCUUGUAUUCACGGCGGACUCUCCUAAGUUCAAUGGUUUGUGGGAAGGAUCCAAUUGUGGUGGUUGGGAGGAUUGGAAGAUUGAGCUUCUUCUGUUGAGCAUCUAAUCUAGCACUAACGUUUGUAGCACGUCUGUGGUCUGAUCCCCUCAAAGCAGCAGCCUAAUAGACCAAGAGGAAGGAAUCACUGUUAGCAAAAAAGGAAAUUCUAAGGGACAGCCACAUCAUAAAAAUGGAAAACAAAUCAAUCAUGCCACUUACAGCCUUUUGAACUGCCUCAUUGGUCACUCUCGGGGAGGACUUUCUUGAAGCCUGAGCUGCAGCAUUGGCAGAGAAGAAUCCCUGGAAACAAAUGAUAAGGAGAACCAAAGUUAGUCUCAUUCAUAUCAUUUUAAAAAGAAGAUACAUAUGCAAUUAGUGGGCUGAUUGUGAGAGAAAAAGUCCCCAAAACUUUAAUCAAACACCAAAUGCCCAAGUUGCCAAAUGAUGUUUAAUUCGGAAAAAUAUAUUUAAAAACAUUCAAAUAUAAUUUCCCCUUCUAAAUUUUCAUUUUCAACAACAUAUUUUACAAGCCAAGCUCAACGUCAGGCCAAGAUUUUGUGCUCCUAUAAUUAUAUUUUACCAUAAAACUAGGUCCUUGAAAGGCUAAGAUUUUCUGACUCUUGUGACUAGUCAAAGCCUAAGAUUCUUUCAAUUCAUCCGUAGUAAAAGUAUACCUCAUCCUUUUGGCCAGCCAAAGCCUUGGCCAAUGCAUUGACUUCAACAACUUUCUGGGCAGCAAAUGCCAGCCAUGACUUGAUUUCGUCGUCGAGUUUGUUCUCAUUAACAAGAUCAACAGCAGUGUGAAGAAGUGAGCAGGAGGUGGAGACCACAAGCUUGUCUGCAAAGAAAAGUAAUAAAUUAUACAACAAAUCCCAUAAUAGAAUAAGAAAUAUUUAUCACAAAGAAAAAUGCAAGCAAAGGAUGUAUACCUUUGCCAACAACACCCUCAAGCCCCCGGAGAACACUAAGAGAAGCAGCAAGAUCAUUGGCCCAAAUGUUCCUUCCAUCAACCACUCCAGCAAAGAGGUACUUGCCAGCAGGGAAUCCACUCUUGAUCAAUUCAAGGGUCUUGGUUCCACGAACCAAAUCAAAUCCAUAAGCGGUGACACCCUUCAAAGAAGUGAGGGUCUGGAAUGCCUCAGCUGGAACAUCAGCAAAGUAGGUCUCAACAAGAACAUUCAAGCCAGAC